CUGUUGACACCUCCUCCUCAAAUCCUCCACACGAGGCGAGCUAGUGGUUGCCCCGCAGGUGCUCGGCGGCGAGCGAUGGCUUGGGCGAGCGCGAGCUACUAGGCGCCCCCAGUCGGCAUGCUGCGCAUGGGCUCCACUGUAGGUGCAGGGGCGCAAACCCGCGGCGGCGUGGCCGUGCGGCCCGAGCGGCUGAGGGGCAGGGCCUGGGGCAUCGAGCGCCUCUGCUCCCUUGCCUGCGCGGGCUCGCAGCUGUCGCCGGUGCCCUGCAGCUGUGUGGCCAUGCGGCUGUGGCCGGCGGGGCCCUGAAGUGCAGGCUGCCAGCUGCACAGCAGAGCCGGGAUCUCUUUGAAGAAAUUCAGAAAAGAUGGAUAUGCUGCAACUCUCUAGGUUUAUUCAGAUCUGCACGUUUUGGGUGAGGAAAACCUUGAACCUAGUUGAUUUUUGUUGUUCAAUUGAAUUAGCAAGAUAAAAACCUUGAACCUGGAGAUCGACGGCUUUGAGGUAUGUGCUAUGCACUAUCUGCUAUUGAGGUAAUCAAGGAAUCUAAUAAGGAUGAUGAUAUAUCUGGUUUGCUUAAAGAUUUAGCCGCUGGUUUAGAUGAUAGAGGAAAUUUUGAUGACAACAGUUCUAUUCUAGAACCUUGCGCUGAGCUACUUGCCUUUCAAAAGUUGGUGGCAGAGAAUAGCAAAGAGUUGUACCCUAAUUGCAAGAAAUAUACACAGUUGCGUUUCCUAGUUAGAUUAUUGCACCUCAAACUCCUUGGAGGAUGGACUGAUAGAUCUUUUAACAUGCUGCUAGAUCUACUUAAUGAUGCACUCCUUGAGGGUUCAACACUCCUUAGAAAUUUUCAUGAAGCUAAGAAAUUGGUGAAAUCCAUUGGAUUUGGCUACAUUAGUUCUUAUGGUUAUGUAGAGACCAUGGCCAUGCACAUAAGUUGUCAAUUGCAUGGCCAUACAAGAGAGUAAUAUACUUUGCUACAUUUUCUCAUGUGUGAUGAGAGUGACGGCAGCCACUAAUUAUUUAUAUUUCUGACAGUUGAAGGUUACCAAAGGAUCACAAUCCUCCCAAGGUGCAUCAGGUGGGAGGUCUCAGAGGUGGCAUGAUGGUUGAUCAACAAGCGGAUCAGUGCUUAUGGAGACUUCUAUUUUGGGCUGUGCUCAUGGACACUUUUAUUUUGAGCAGUGCUUAUUUGGAAUAUCUAGCCUGGCUCCCCUUAUUUUGUAAAUGUGGCUACUGCUUGUACCGUGGCUGGUGACAAACCCAACAUAUGAUCUAGCUAGCUUGACUUAGCACUGUGACAACAAAUGAUGUCUAUGAUGAAGCUUUGCUAUUCAACCAAUUAUAUAUGUAUUGGGUUCAUAUGAAAACUAUUUUAGCCAAUUCUAUGUUUGAUAUCUGUUGGCUUCAAAUAAAAAAUAUGAUUUAUAUAUCUUUA
This is a long non-coding RNA of Panicum virgatum (switchgrass), 1435 nucleotides long. RefSeq lists it as uncharacterized. The transcript has 3 exons. NCBI's taxonomy places the organism in Eukaryota, Viridiplantae, Streptophyta, Magnoliopsida, Poales, Poaceae. The record is from RefSeq and is a predicted model, not a curated record.